Molecule: small RNA, 573 nt
Filed under: Pongo abelii (Sumatran orangutan)
Lineage: Eukaryota; Metazoa; Chordata; Mammalia; Primates; Hominidae
Description: processed transcript
Source: RNAcentral
AGUCCCCACCCCAAAGCCCUCUCCUCUUGCCACCAGCCCUGACUCUGCCCUUGGUCUGCUGCAGCUCCAGAAGUGCUGGCCCAGAAACCCUACAGCAAGGCUGUGGAUUGCUGGUCCAUCGGCGUCAUCACCUACAUAUUGCUCUGUGGGUACCCCCCAUUCUAUGAAGAAACGGAGUCUAAGCUUUUCGAGAAGAUCAAGGAGGGCUACUAUGAGUUUGAGUCUCCAUUCUGGGAUGACAUUUCUGAGUCAGCCAAGGACUUUAUUUGCCACUUGCUUGAGAAGGAUCCGAAUGAGCGGUACACCUGUGAGAAGGCCUUGAGUCAUCCCUGGAUUGACGGGAACACAGCCCUCCACCGGGACAUCUACCCAUCAGUCAGCCUCCAGAUCCAGAAGAACUUUGCUAAGAGCAAGUGGAGGCAAGCCUUCAACGCAGCAGCUGUGGUGCACCACAUGAGGAAGCUACACAUGAACCUGCACAGCCCAGGCGUCCGCCCAGAGGUGGAGAACAGGCUGCCUGAAACUCAAGCCUCAGAAACCUCUAGACCCAGCUCCCCUGAGAUCACCAUCACC